AUUGAACGCUGGCGGCAUGCCUUACACAUGCAAGUCGAACGGCAGCGGACCUUCGGGUGCCGGCGAGUGGCGAACGGGUGAGUAAUAUAUCGGAACGUACCUUUCAGUGGGGGAUAACGUAGCGAAAGUUACGCUAAUACCGCAUAUUCUGUGAGCAGGAAAGCAGGGGAUCGCAAGACCUUGCGCUGAUUGAGCGGCCGAUAUCAGAUUAGCUAGUUGGUGAGGUAAAGGCUCACCAAGGCGACGAUCUGUAGCGGGUCUGAGAGGAUGAUCCGCCACACUGGAACUGAGACACGGUCUAGACUCCUACGGGAGGCAGCAGUGGGGAAUUUUGGACAAUGGGCGCAAGCCUGAUCCAGCCAUGCCGCGUGAGUGAAGAAGGCC
This 384-nucleotide ribosomal RNA is filed under the name uncultured bacterium. Its description in RNAcentral is "bacterial SSU rRNA". It matches the Rfam family "Bacterial small subunit ribosomal RNA", at positions 30 to 416 of the family's 1533-position model. The record is from RNAcentral.